RNAcentral lists this ribosomal RNA (161 nucleotides) under Aimara rollinsii. RNAcentral's name for it is "5.8S ribosomal RNA". It matches the Rfam family "5.8S ribosomal RNA". Rfam says of the family: 5.8S ribosomal RNA (5.8S rRNA) is a component of the large subunit of the eukaryotic ribosome. The record is from RNAcentral. Lineage: Eukaryota; Viridiplantae; Streptophyta; Magnoliopsida; Brassicales; Brassicaceae.
AACGACUCUCGGCAACGGAUAUCUUGGCUCUCGCAUCGAUGAAGAACGUAGCGAAAUGCGAUACUUGGUGUGAAUUGCAGAAUCCCGUGAACCAUCGAGUCUUUGAACGCAAGUUGCGCCCCAAGCCUUUUGGCCGAGGGCACGUCUGCCUGGGUGUCACA